GGGAGGCAACUCAAAUGUAAGGGCAGAUAAUUCAGAUAGUGUUACUUUUACAAUAGAAUGUGUUAGGAAUUUACCCAUUUUGACAUGUAGCAAGAAAACGAGUCCGGUGACGCCAUUUUUUCUUUUUCUUAUCUGAAAGCAUAAUAUUGGAGCUAUCUUCUCAUAUUUUAUCUCAAAAUUCUAUGGUGUGGUUUGCGUUUUAUGGCGGAAAAAUGGGUUUUCCAUGCAUAAUCUAUACAAAAUCUUGACAAUUUUGCACAACCUGUAGUGUGAAAAUAAGUCCGGUGACCCAUUCUUUUUAUUAAUGUUUUUAAACAAGCAGGAUAUGAACUACAUUUUGGCAAAUUAUUAAAAGAUUUUAUGGAUUAUAAUUUAGACACCCCAUCUACCUUAAAGUA
Molecule: long non-coding RNA, 398 nt
Filed under: Mytilus galloprovincialis (Mediterranean mussel)
Lineage: Eukaryota; Metazoa; Mollusca; Bivalvia; Mytilida; Mytilidae
Source: RNAcentral